This 229-nucleotide ribosomal RNA is filed under the name uncultured Collinsella sp. RNAcentral's name for it is "partial 16S ribosomal RNA". It matches the Rfam family "Bacterial small subunit ribosomal RNA", at positions 109 to 339 of the family's 1533-position model. The record is from RNAcentral. Lineage: Bacteria; Bacillati; Actinomycetota; Coriobacteriia; Coriobacteriales; Coriobacteriaceae.
AGUAACACGUGGAGAACCUGCCCCCUCCCCCGGGAUAGCCGCCCGAAAGGACGGGUAAUACCGGAUACCCCGGGGUGCCGCAUGGCGCCCCGGCUAAAGCCCCGACGGGAGGGGAUGGCUCCGCGGCCCAUCAGGUAGACGGCGGGGUGACGGCCCACCGUGCCGACAACGGGUAGCCGGGUUGAGAGACCGACCGGCCAGAUUGGGACUGAGACACGGCCCAGACUCC